This 406-nucleotide ribosomal RNA is filed under the name uncultured bacterium. RNAcentral describes it as "partial 16S ribosomal RNA". It matches the Rfam family "Bacterial small subunit ribosomal RNA", at positions 30 to 526 of the family's 1533-position model. The record is from RNAcentral.
AUUGAACGAUGGCGGCAGGCCUAACACAUGCAAGUCGAACGAGUGGCGGACGGGUGAGUAAUGUCUGGGAAACUGCCCGAUGGAGGGGGAUAACUACUGGAAACUGUAGCUAAUACCGCAUACCAUCGGAUGUGCCCAGAUGGGAUUAGCAAGUAGGUGGGGUAACGGCUCACCUAGGCGACGAUCCCUAGCUGGUCUGAGAGGAUGACCAGCAACACUGGAACUGAGACACGGUCCAUCAUCCUACGAGAGGCAGCAGUGGGUAAUAUUGCACAAUGGGCGCAAGCCCGAUGCAGCCAUGCGGCGUGUAUGAAGAAGGCCUUCGGGUUGUAAAGUACUUUCAGCGAUGAGGCGUUACUCGCAGAAGAAGCACCGGCUAACUCCGUGCCAGCAGCCGCGGUAAUUC